Molecule: ribosomal RNA, 163 nt
Filed under: uncultured bacterium
Lineage: Bacteria
Description: partial 16S ribosomal RNA
Rfam family: Bacterial small subunit ribosomal RNA
Source: RNAcentral
UGGGCGCAGCCUGAUCCAGCCAUGCCGCGUGUGUGAUGAAGGCCUUCGGGUUGUAAAGCACUUUCACCGGGGAAGAAAGUGACGGGAUUAGUGCAAGAAUCCCCGGCUAAUUCCCUGCCAGCAACCGCGGUAAUACACCGUGCCAGCAGCCGCGGUAAUACAA